CAGAGAGGUUGAGUGGCAUGUCCUGAUACAUCGUGGUACCGUGCGAAGGGAUUUUACUUACUCAACCCAAGUUCAAAGAUAACACUACAACUGACCCUUGAACCACAAGGGUUUGAACUGCAUGAGUCCACUUAGACAUGGAUUUUUUCCCUUCUUCUGCCACCCCUGAGACAACAGGACCAACCCCUCUUCUUCCUCCUCUUCCUCAGCCUAUGCAAUGUGAAGAUGACAAGGAAGAAAACCUUUAUGAUGAUCCAUGUCUACUUAAUGAAUAACUCAGGUAUUCAUCUCAUCAAAGCAAGAAGACCACCUCAGCUCUAGAACCACAGUCUCCCCCUAACUUCAGCUGCACGGAGCAGGGAUAGACACAAAAGACCUUUCCUUCCCAGAUAUUGUUGAAAAAAAAAAAAAAAGAAAAGAAAGAAAGAAAAGAAAAAAUAGAAACUUUUUUUUUCCUUCUGGGAGAAAAAGCUUUUGAGAAGGCCUCAGACAGAGUAAUCGACUUCUCUUCAUGCCUCACUUGUCAGAACUGGAUCUCACCACUCCCAUUCGCAAACCAGUCCCUGCAAAGGGUAGUAGGAUUGCUGUAAUUGGCUUAGGUCAGGAGUCAACAAACUUUUUCUGGAAAGAUCCAGAUAGCAAAUAUUUUAGGCUUUGUGGGCCAAAUGGUCUCUGUUUCACACUACAAUUCUGCCAUUGUAGUGUGAAAGCAGUCAAAGGCAAAGUUUAAAUGGAUGUGGCUGUGUUUCAAUAAAACUUUAUUUAAAAAAAUACAGGUGGUGACAUAACAACUAAACUCUAAGAGUCUGGACAGAAGCCAGACAAAGAAAGCUGUGGAAAGAACAUUGAACUUGGAGUCAGCCCCGCUCACCUGGUCUGAACUCUUGGCUUUGCCUUGUGUCCUCAAGUAACCUACUUCUCUCUGAACCUCAGAUUCUUCAGCUGCAAAAUGGGGAUAAUAAUAUUCACCUACUAAGGUUCUUGUGGGGGAAGUAGGCAAUGGAAGUGAGUGUAAGGAGGGAAGAGUAGAAGGAGUCCAACAAUAAUCUGAGUUUUCUGAGCUCAAGAAUGUCAAUACAGGCAGGGCACAGUGGCUGACGCCUGUAAUCCCAACCGAGGCGGGCAGAUCACCUGAGGUCAAGAGUUCAAGACCAGCCUGGCCAACAUGAUGAAACCCUGUCUCUACUAAAAAUACAAAAAUUAGCCAGGAGUGGUGGCACACGCCUGUAAUCCCAGCUACUCAGGAGGCUGAGGCAGGAGAAUUGCUUGAACCCGGGAGGCGGAGGUUUCAGUGAGCCUAGAUCGCGCCACUGCACUCCAGCCUGUGCGACAGAGCGAGACUCCAUCUAAAAAAAAACCAAAAAACAAAAAAAAUAAAAAUAAAAAAAAAAGAAGUUCAGUGAUAGGUUUCAGAUUCCACACUGCAACCAACUUUGAGCAACUAUCACUUGCCAGGUUUUGGUGGUGGUGUAGAAACUACCUGCAAUUACCCAAAAAGGCUGUUCAAAUACUUCUCCCUUUUCCAGCUACAGACCUGCAAGAGGCUGGAGUUGCUUUGUGUGCUUCAACCAAAACAACAUAUGGCAACAGACUGAAUGCAGAAGCAGAUACAAGAAUCCAGCUGUCUUCUAUUAAGGCAGACAGUAAAGAGACUUGCAAAAAUGUAAAACUACCAUUAUUUUUGCCCUGUUGUGUUUUGGAACAAAACAAAUAGUUUCGUUGAAAAAUUUUUAGAAAAAAAUCAUUUUUCAUAAAAAUGUUAUUUAUGUUAAAAUGGA
This 1778-nucleotide long non-coding RNA is filed under the name Homo sapiens (human). Its description in RNAcentral is "HSALNT0269140". Lineage: Eukaryota; Metazoa; Chordata; Mammalia; Primates; Hominidae. The record is from RNAcentral.